Molecule: long non-coding RNA, 215 nt
Filed under: Homo sapiens (human)
Lineage: Eukaryota; Metazoa; Chordata; Mammalia; Primates; Hominidae
Description: HSALNT0309971
Source: RNAcentral
CGGACGCCGAGGCCGAGGAGGCGCCGAGAGCGAGUGAGAGCUGCUAGCCAGUUGUCACCUCUCACAGAGAGGUCCACAUUUGCUGAAAUGUAACUCUUAUCUCAUGCACUGGGAGUGAUGAACUUCACUAGGAAAUCAUCGUUCUUUCUGGAAUUAGACGAUAUAAGCUGCAGCUCAGAAUCAGAGCAGUAAGAAAUGUAGCAGCAUGUCAGAGC